CCUACGGGAGGCUGCAGUGAGGAAUAUUGGUCAAUGGCCGUAAGGCUGAACCAGCCAAGUAGCGUGAGGGAAGACUGCCCUAUGGGUUGUAAACCUCUUUUAUGCGGGGAUAAAGUUGUCCACGUGUGGAUGUUUGCAGGUACCGCAUGAAUAAGGACCGGCUAAUUCCGUGCCAGCAGCCGCGGUAAUACGGAGGGUCCGAGCGUUAUCCGGAUUUAUUGGGUUUAAAGGGAGCGUAGGCGGGUUGUUAAGUCAGCGGUAAAAGCCCGGGGCUCAACCCCGGCGAGCCGUUGAAACUGGCUGUCUUGAGAUGGCGAGAGGUAUGCGGAAUGCGCGGUGUAGCGGUGAAAUGCUUAGAUAUCGCGCAGAACUCCGAUUGCGAAGGCAGCAUACCGGCGGCGAACUGACGCUGAGGCACGAAAGCGUGGGUAUCGAACAGGAUUAGAUACCCUUGUAGUC
RNAcentral lists this ribosomal RNA (459 nucleotides) under uncultured bacterium. RNAcentral's name for it is "partial 16S ribosomal RNA". It matches the Rfam family "Bacterial small subunit ribosomal RNA", at positions 338 to 795 of the family's 1533-position model. The record is from RNAcentral.